UACGGGGGGGGCAAGCGUUGUUCGGAAUUACUGGGCGUAAAGGGCCAGUAGGCGGCCAACUAAGUCGGAUGUGAAAUCCCCAGGCUCAACUUGGGAACUGCAUCCGAUACUGGAUGGCUUGAAUUCGGGAGAGGGAUGCAGAAUUCCAGGUGUAGCGGUGAAAUGCGUUGAUAUCCACAGGAACUCCGGUGGCGAAGGCGGCGUGCUGGACCCGAUCUGACGCUGAGGCGCGAAAGCGUGGGGAGCAAACAGG
Molecule: ribosomal RNA, 253 nt
Filed under: uncultured bacterium
Lineage: Bacteria
Description: partial 16S ribosomal RNA
Rfam family: Bacterial small subunit ribosomal RNA
Source: RNAcentral